This is a long non-coding RNA of Xenopus laevis (African clawed frog), 715 nucleotides long. RefSeq annotates it as mitochondrial ribosomal protein L36 L homeolog. NCBI's taxonomy places the organism in Eukaryota, Metazoa, Chordata, Amphibia, Anura, Pipidae. The transcript is spliced from 3 exons. The record is from RefSeq and is a predicted model, not a curated record.
AAUUAGAACAAGCGCAGCCGUGUCACAUGUCAGUUUGUGUCUGGCGGUGCUAGUGCGCAUGUGUUGACUUUCUGCUUUUAACAACCCAUUCGCCCAGUUGUGUGGAACGUUUUGCUGAAUAUUGUAUGCUCAUCAGAUGCAGUUUGGUGCUUUCUCAUGCCAAAGACCAUCUGAGUAGUGAAAAUUAUAUCUGGUGAGAUCAUCUCAAAGGACAGAAGGAGUGUUGGGCUGAAUGUCAACACAACAUCCCUUUUCUCUUGAAUGAAGAAGAAAAUUGCCUGAGACAACAGAAAGUCCUGGAACAAUGGCAUCACUCUUGCUGCGGAGAGUGCUAUUAUCUAUAGCAAAACCUGUAUCAUUUUUUGGACACCAGUCAGUAAAGUUUUCCUCCAUUCCAACCAUAAUGGAUGUUUUUACACAGCCACUAAUUCAGAGGAGCAUUUCAGGAUUUAAAGGUUCUCCGUUUUUAGCUGACAGUCAUCUCCCAUUAGUACAGCAAACCUCUGGAAUGAAAACGAAAACUGCACUCAAAAAGCGAUGCAAAGACUGUUAUUUUGUGAGAAGGCGUGGAAGGCUAUUUGUGUACUGCAAAACCAAUGGGAAGCAUAAGCAGAGACAAGGCUAAUUUGCCACUUUUUUAUAGCACAUAGAACCAUAUGUUAUAGAGGCUUAAUAUGGUUUUCAACAUACAAAUAAAAAAUCAAUUUGCAGAAAA